This 468-nucleotide ribosomal RNA is filed under the name uncultured bacterium. Its description in RNAcentral is "partial 16S ribosomal RNA". It matches the Rfam family "Bacterial small subunit ribosomal RNA", at positions 28 to 507 of the family's 1533-position model. The record is from RNAcentral.
GACGAACGCUGGCGGCGUGCUUAACACAUGCAAGUCGAACGGAAAGGCCCUGCUUUUGUGGGGUGCUCGAGUGGCGAACGGGUGAGUAACACGCGAGUAACCUGCCCUUGACUUUGGGAUAACUUCAGGAAACUGGGGCUAAUACCGGAUAGGAGCUCCUGCUGCAUGGUGGGGGUUGGAAAGUUUCGGCGGUAGGGGAUGGACUCGCGGCUUAUCAGCUUGUUGGUGGGGUAGUGGCUUCCCAAGGGUUUGACGGGUAGCCGGCCUGAGGGGUUGACCGGCGACAUGGGGACUGAGGUACGGCGCAGACUGGUACGGGAGGCAGCAGGGGAGAAUAUUGCGCAGUGGGCGGAAGCCAGUGGCAGCAACGCCGCGUGCGGGAUGACGGGCUUCGAGGGGUAAACCGCUUUCGCCUGUGACGAAGCGGGAGUGACGGUAAUGGGUAAAGAAGCACCGGCUAACUACGUG